This 712-nucleotide ribosomal RNA is filed under the name Bacillus aerophilus. RNAcentral's name for it is "bacterial SSU rRNA". It matches the Rfam family "Bacterial small subunit ribosomal RNA", at positions 52 to 747 of the family's 1533-position model. The record is from RNAcentral. Lineage: Bacteria; Bacillati; Bacillota; Bacilli; Caryophanales; Bacillaceae.
UACAUGCAAGUCGAGCGGACAGAAGGGAGCUUGCUCCCGGAUGUUAGCGGCGGACGGGUGAGUAACACGUGGGUAACCUGCCUGUAAGACUGGGAUAACUCCGGGAAACCGGAGCUAAUACCGGAUAGUUCCUUGAACCGCAUGGUUCAAGGAUGAAAGACGGUUUCGGCUGUCACUUACAGAUGGACCCGCGGCGCAUUAGCUAGUUGGUGAGGUAACGGCUCACCAAGGCGACGAUGCGUAGCCGACCUGAGAGGGUGAUCGGCCACACUGGGACUGAGACACGGCCCAGACUCCUACGGGAGGCAGCAGUAGGGAAUCUUCCGCAAUGGACGAAAGUCUGACGGAGCAACGCCGCGUGAGUGAUGAAGGUUUUCGGAUCGUAAAGCUCUGUUGUUAGGGAAGAACAAGUGCAAGAGUAACUGCUUGCACCUUGACGGUACCUAACCAGAAAGCCACGGCUAACUACGUGCCAGCAGCCGCGGUAAUACGUAGGUGGCAAGCGUUGUCCGGAAUUAUUGGGCGUAAAGGGCUCGCAGGCGGUUUCUUAAGUCUGAUGUGAAAGCCCCCGGCUCAACCGGGGAGGGUCAUUGGAAACUGGGAAACUUGAGUGCAGAAGAGGAGAGUGGAAUUCCACGUGUAGCGGUGAAAUGCGUAGAGAUGUGGAGGAACACCAGUGGCGAAGGCGACUCUCUGGUCUGUAACUGACGCU